Molecule: ribosomal RNA, 287 nt
Filed under: uncultured Lachnospiraceae bacterium
Lineage: Bacteria; Bacillati; Bacillota; Clostridia; Lachnospirales; Lachnospiraceae
Description: partial 16S ribosomal RNA
Rfam family: Bacterial small subunit ribosomal RNA (bases 50-287)
Source: RNAcentral
AAGCACUUUGGAAAGAUUCUUCGGAUGAUUUCCUUUGUGACUGAGCGGCGGACGGGUGAGUAACGCGUGGGUAACCUGCCUCAUACAGGGGGAUAACAGUUAGAAAUGACUGCUAAUACCGCAUAAGACCACGGUACCGCAUGGUACAGUGGUAAAAACUCCGGUGGUAUGAGAUGGACCCGCGUCUGAUUAGUUAGUUGGUGGGGUAACGGCCUACCAAGGCGACGAUCAGUAGCCGACCUGAGAGGUUAACCCCCACACUGGUACUGAGACACGGACCAGACUCC